CACAUGUUUUCAUUUCUAGUCUUUAAAACCUCUCUACCCAUCUAGUAUUAAUUCCUUCUGGGAUACAAAUAUGUAUAUUAUGCAGACACACAAACACACAUGCAGCUAUUACCCAUUUCUUGUUUUUAUACCUAAGAUGAAUUAUUGUUGAAUGAAGACAUUUUUCAAACACAUGUAAUUGCCAAUUGUGUUUAUUGGGUAAAAAAAAAAGGUAGAAGGGGGGAAAAGAGGUAAAAAGAGGAAUAAAAAGAAGGAAAGAGAGAGAAGAGAGAAAACCCCAACAAUCCCCUCUGAGCAAGCACCAGGCGACAGUGGAUAGGAAAAACUCCUUUUAAAGUGAAAGACACUUAAAGGAGAAACCUAUGGCAGAACCAGGCUCAGGAGGGGGCAGUCAACUGCCGGGACUGGUCGGGGGGUGAGGGUGAAAAAAGAAAAAGGAGGGAGGGGGAGGGGAAGGGGAAGGGGAAGGGGGAAAAUUAAGUUGGAAUAGAGGUGGAGGAAGACAUGGUUACAUCAGGUGAGAAGCAGCAGUGUCCCUUCUCCAGAACCAGUGGAAACGUUUUCUCUUCUUUUUCAGACAAUGUUCCACCAGCACUUUUUUCUCAAGGAUGAGGGUUUUCAGCUCAUCCAUUGUUUCUGUGUUUUCUUUCUCAAGUUUGCUGCAUCUUUUCACCAUGUCUUCUAAUUGUUCUUGUUUUUCUUUAAGCUUGUCUUGCAGUUCUUUAACUGUUGCCUCCUCUAUUCGCUUUGCCUUGUGCACAUCUGUGUGCAUGUCUUCCAGCUGCUGGUUUCUCUUCUGGAUUUCUUGAAGUCUACACUGCAGGUCUUAGAAAGUUCUUCAAGUUCGGUAUUUUUUCUCAGCAUUUCAUUGAUGCUACUCUGCAUCGCUGAGCACUGUUUUUCCAUUUUUUUCUUUUCUCCUUCCAGUACAGAUGUUUUGUACCUCGUUUCGUUAUACAAUUCUUGGAGUGCUAGAUAUUUCUUCUGGAGAAAAAAUUUUUCUUCUUCCUGUUGUAUUUUCUGUUGGUCUUUUUCUUGAAGCAGCUCUUUAUUUUUGAGGAGUGUUUCCUCAAGAGUUAUUUGGAGCAUUUUGCAUUUUUCCUCCAAGACUUCAAACUUGCGGUCCAUUUCUUUCUCGAGCAUUUCUUGUUGCUCUCUCUCUUCAAUGAACUCCUUAUUUCUGUGCACUUUUUUAUCGAGCUUGAUUUGGAGCAGUCUGUGUUUUUCCUCCAUCUCAUCAAGCUUGGAGUCCAUUUCCUUCUGCUUCAUAUCCAUUUGCUUCUUGUCUUUAACCAACUGUUGAUUUUUGUGCAGAGUUUUAUCAUGUUUCACCUGCAGAGCUUUGUAUUUUUCCUCCAUGGCUUGGAGUUUGCUCUGCAGGUCUCUCUGCUCUUCGGGCUGUUGUUUCUUGUCUUGGAGAAUCUCUUUAUUUCUCUCCAGAGCUUCAUCAAGCAUAACUUGCAAGCCUUCAUUUUGUUUCUCGAUGUUCCUCAGCUUGCACUCCAUUUCUUGCUGAUGUAUUUUCUGUUGGUCUUUGUCGUGAAGCAACUCUUUAUUUCUUUCCAGAGCUUCAUCAAGCAUUACUUGCAAGCCUCUAUUUUGUUUCUCAAUGUGCCUCAGCUUGCAAUCCAUUUCUUGCUGAUGUAUUUUCCGUUGGUCUUUCUCGUGAAGGAACUCUUUAUUCCUUUCCAGAGCUUCAUCAAGCAUUACUUGCAAGCCUCUAUUUUGUUUCUCGAUGUUCCUCAGCUUGCAAUCCAUUUCUUCCUUUUGUAUUUUUUGUUGGUCAUUCUCGUGAAGCAUCUCUGUAUUUUUGAGCAGUGUUUCCUCAAGAGUUAUUUGCAGCAUUUUCAGUUUUUCUUCCAAGACUUCAAACUUGGAGUCCGUUUCUUUCUCGAGGAUUUCUUGUUGCUCUCUCUCUUCAAUGAACUCUUUAUUUCUGUGCACUGUUUUCUCAAGCUUGAUUUGGAGCAGUCUGUGUUUUUCCUCCAUCUCGUCAUGCUUGGAGUCCAUUUCCUUCUGUUUCAUUUCCAUUUGCUUCUUGUCUUGAAGCAACUGUUGAUUUUUGUGCAGAGUUUUGUCAUGCUUUACCUGCAGCGCUUUGUAUUUUUCCUCCAUGGCUUGGAGUUUGCGCUGCAUGUCUCUCUGCUCGGCCUGUUGUUUCUCUUCUUGGUGGAUUUCUCUAAGUUUCUCCAGAGCUUCAUCAAGCUCUUCUUGGAGCUCCUGAUUCUUCCUGACCAUGGUUUCCUGUUUUAUGCUCUCUUUUUUCUCCUUUUGGAGCAGAUCUUUAAUUUUUUCCAGAGCGUCAUCCAGCUUUUCUUGGAGCACCUGAUUCUUCUUAUCUUGGAGAGCCCAUUGUUUCUCCUCAAUACCUUCUUUUUCUUGAAGCUGGUAGGAUAAUUUUUCUAAUUCAGCUCUUUCUCUCAUUUUCUUCCGUCAGGAUCUUAAUCUUCUCUCUGUUCAUGAGAUUUUCAUUCUGCAUUUCUUCCAAUCGCUGUUCCUCUAAUUCUACCUGUUCAUCCCAAGGUAGAGAGCUCAUAUAAGGGUCUAGGGACUCAUACCAUGGAAUAGAGCUGGGGUCAGCUUCUUGUCUUUCUUGCUUUUUCGGAGACAUGUUGGAGUCUGUUUACCGUGACUACGAAAAGGAUCCAAAGGUUUCGAAAUGCUUUACUGGUGAAUGUUUGAACGCUGCUGACAUAAGUGCUGCAAAUAACGGACUAAAAGUUGUACAUCCUCACCCCUAUUUAAGGAUUUUGAGGAUCAAAGCUUCAAAGGAUCAAAGCUUUAGAAGCCCGUGACAUCAGAAUUCCAUAAGCCAUGAGGUUGUCACAUGACAUUUUUGAAUGAGGUCAUAUUUUUGUAUGAAUUUUUUUAAAUAACAUCAACAUUCCGUAAGCCAGUGAGGUUCUUACAUGACUUUUGAAUGAGGAUAAAUUUUUUGCUUGGA
Molecule: long non-coding RNA, 2944 nt
Organism: Oreochromis aureus
Lineage: Eukaryota; Metazoa; Chordata; Actinopteri; Cichliformes; Cichlidae
Source: Ensembl